GGACGGGGCCCGCACAAGCGGUGGAGUAUGUGGUUUAAUUCGAUGCAGCGCGAAGAACCUUACCUGGUCUUGACAUCCCGGAGACCCUUAGGAAACUAGGGGUGCUUCCAUCUGGAAGAAUCUGGAGACAGGUGCUGCAUGGCUGUCGUCAGCUCGUGUCGUGAGAUGUUGGGUUAAGUCCCGCAACGAGCGCAACCCUUGCCUUUAGUUGCCAGCAGUUCGGCUGGGCACUCUAAAGGGACUGCCGGUGUUAAACCGGAGGAAGGUGGGGAUGACGUCAAGUCCUCAUGGCCUUUAUGACCAGGGCUACACACGUACUACAAUGGCCGAUACAAAGGGCAGCGACACUGCGAGGUGAAGCCAAUCCCGUAAAAUCGGUCUCAGUCCGGAUUGGAGUCUGCAACUCGACUCCAUGAAGUUGGAAUCGCUAGUAAUCGUGGAUCAGCAUGCCACGGUGAAUACGUUCCCGGGCCUU
RNAcentral lists this ribosomal RNA (475 nucleotides) under uncultured Desulfobulbus sp. RNAcentral's name for it is "bacterial SSU rRNA". It matches the Rfam family "Bacterial small subunit ribosomal RNA", at positions 916 to 1381 of the family's 1533-position model. The record is from RNAcentral. Lineage: Bacteria; Pseudomonadati; Thermodesulfobacteriota; Desulfobulbia; Desulfobulbales; Desulfobulbaceae.